AUGUCGGGUCGCACACUUAGAGUGCGCCUUCGCUGAUUAUUUCUGCGAAGGAAAAUUUAAAGAGAUCUUAGCUCGCGAUUCAUUAGAUUCGCUCGAGCGUACCCACGCAAUGUCGGGUCGCACACUUAGUGUGCGAAUUUUUCCUUGCAUGUUGCAGAUGAUGUUCACGCGGAUCGGCAGUGAGGUGUGCUUGCGAUGCUACCAUUGACAGCGCCAAUGCGGUUGAGGGAACGACCGACAAUGUUCUGGCCAGAAGGAAAGAAAUCGCUCUGGCAUUGAACGCCGGGAAAACUUCGCAGUGGAAGACCAUUCUCGGCAAAUUAGCUCGGAGGACCACGAAGCCCUCGAGGGUCGCUUUGGUAGCUGCCAAUCAUGGAAUAUCAUAUACAAACAAAGAUGCAACAGGUGAAAAUUUGUGAAGUAAGCAACACCUCCGCCGCAGCAGCGGCGACCGCCAGCAACGGCAUUUGGAGCAACGCCGUGCAGCGGAGGCGGAAACCAUCUCCCAUUUGUCCGGAAGGAAAGAAAUCGCUCUGGCAUUCAACGCCGGGAAAACUUCACAGUGGAGAAACAUAUUGGGGCAGUUAGCUCGAGGGACUGCCAGGCUUAAACUGGCGAACUUUGUG
Non-coding RNA from Megalopta genalis, 626 nucleotides. Lineage: Eukaryota; Metazoa; Arthropoda; Insecta; Hymenoptera; Halictidae. The record is from RefSeq and is a predicted model, not a curated record.